Molecule: long non-coding RNA, 451 nt
Organism: Eubalaena glacialis (North Atlantic right whale)
Lineage: Eukaryota; Metazoa; Chordata; Mammalia; Artiodactyla; Balaenidae
Exons: 3
Source: RefSeq, a predicted model, not a curated record
AAAAAAUCGAGCUGGGGGGUUCCCUGGUCCCUGGCGAUGGGGCGGAGAGCGCGGCGCCAGGGGAGGGGGCGGGCGCGGCAGCGCGGGCCCCGCCGACAGGGGACACCUGGCUGAGGCACAGCUGCUGCCCGCCGCGCCGCGCCGCUCCGCGCGAACCCAGGGCUCCGGUCCCUGCGCGGGCUCGAGAGCUCGCCCCGACCGGGGGUCUUCCUCCUCCGCCGUUGACAGGUGAAUAACAACAAAAUGAAGACCAUAAUAAAACAAGCCCCCUACUUAGCCCUGCAAUUCUUACCUUGUUUAAGUUGAUGCCAAAUAAUUCCAAUAUUGAGCAUCUUAAAUCUGUUACUUGGAGUAUGGAUUGAGUUUGGAGCUAACUCAGAGGACUACAGGCAAGUAUUCAGGAGGUAGUCAGAGGGAUAUCUUAAUAGUUGAACAAUUCAGCUUGCAUACU